CUGACUUGGUGCUUCGGUCUCCUCAGGAUAGUUCUGUUCAAGCUGUAUAUCUUCAGACCUUACUACUUCUCCUUCGUAGUCUGCCCAUCCGUCCUUGAUGAUUUGCCUCCUCUGGUUGCGGUUGCGUCGUCUUCUUCUUGUCCUGACCUGCUUAGAGUCUUCAACUAUAUAGUUAGGGUCAGUAAAAUAGUGGCGUACCUUCUGUA
RNAcentral lists this long non-coding RNA (206 nucleotides) under Sorghum bicolor (sorghum). RNAcentral describes it as "long non-coding RNA (SBIC_LNC014526)". Lineage: Eukaryota; Viridiplantae; Streptophyta; Magnoliopsida; Poales; Poaceae. The record is from RNAcentral.